CCUACGGGAGGCAGCAGUGAGGAAUAUUGGUCAAUGGACGAGAGUCUGAACCAGCCAAGUAGCGUGAAGGAUGACUGCCCUAUGGGUUGUAAACUUCUUUUAUAUGGGAAUAAAAUGUUCCACGUGUGGGAUUUUGUAUGUACCAUAUGAAUAAGGAUCGGCUAACUCCGUGCCAGCAGCCGCGGUAAUACGGAGGAUCCGAGCGUUAUCCGGAUUUAUUGGGUUUAAAGGGAGCGUAGGUGGAUUGUUAAGUCAGUUGUGAAAGUUUGCGGCUCAACCGUAAAAUUGCAGUUGAAACUGGCAGUCUUGAGUACAGUAGAGGUGGGCGGAAUUCGUGGUGUAGCGGUGAAAUGCUUAGAUAUAACGAUGAACUCCGAUUGCGAAGGCAGUUCACUGGACUGCAACUGACACUGAGGCUCGAAAGUGUGGGUAUCAAACAGGAUUAGAUAUCCGAGUAGUC
Molecule: ribosomal RNA, 460 nt
Filed under: uncultured bacterium
Lineage: Bacteria
Description: partial 16S ribosomal RNA
Rfam family: Bacterial small subunit ribosomal RNA
Source: RNAcentral